UCCGGCUUAUCACCGGCAGUUUCUUUAGAGUGCUCAACUAAAUGGUAGCAACUAAAGACGAGGGUUGCGCUCGUUGCGGGACUUAACCCAACAUCUCACGACACGAGCUGACGACGGCCAUGCAGCACCUGUCACUUGGCUCCCGAGGGCACCCCACCGUUUCCGGCGGGUUCCAAGGAUGUCAAGCCUGGGUAAGGUUCUACGCGUAGCGUCAUAUUAAACCACAUCAUCCUCUGCUUGUGCGGGUCCCCGUCAAUUCCUUUGAGUUUUAGCCUUGCGGCCGUACUUCCCAGGCGGCAUACUUAUCGCGUUAGCUUCGUCUCACAGGGGGUCGAUACCCCAUAAGACUAGUACGCAUCGUUUACGGCGUGGACUAC
RNAcentral lists this unclassified non-coding RNA (377 nucleotides) under uncultured bacterium. RNAcentral's name for it is "contains 16S-23S intergenic spacer region". The record is from RNAcentral.